Molecule: ribosomal RNA, 497 nt
Filed under: uncultured bacterium
Lineage: Bacteria
Description: partial 16S ribosomal RNA
Rfam family: Bacterial small subunit ribosomal RNA
Source: RNAcentral
GAUGAACGCUGGCGGCGUGCCUAAUACAUGCAAGUCGAGCGAACAGACGAGGAGCUUGCUCCUCUGACGUUAGCGGCGGACGGGUGAGUAACACGUGGAUAACCUACCUAUAAGACUGGGAUAACUUCGGGAAACCGGAGCUAAUACCGGAUAAUAUAUUGAACCGCAUGGUUCAAUAGUGAAAGACGGUUUUGCUGUCACUUAUAGAUGGAUCCGCGCCGCAUUAGCUAGUUGGUAAGGUAACGGCUUACCAAGGCGACGAUGCGUAGCCGACCUGAGAGGGGGUUGCCCCACCCGGGAACAGACACCGGGCCCGGCCCCCCCGGGGGGGCGCCGGUGGGGAUUUUUCCGCAAGGGGCGAAGGCCGGCGGGCGCACCCCCGGGGGAGUGAGGAGGGUCUUCGGAUCGUAAACCUUUUUUAUUGGGAAAAAAAAAGUGUGAAAGUAACUAUGCACGUCUGCACGCCCCCUAAACAGAAGCCCCCGGCUACCUACGCC